Molecule: long non-coding RNA, 638 nt
Organism: Tigriopus californicus
Lineage: Eukaryota; Metazoa; Arthropoda; Copepoda; Harpacticoida; Harpacticidae
Exons: 3
Source: RefSeq, a predicted model, not a curated record
GGCCACGAAGGGGUUCGGCCAAAGCAGAGAUUUUGUGGGAAAAUUGGCCCAACUGGUUGACGAGGCCUAGAAAAGAACGGAGAUCUGUACGAUCAACAGGUAUGGGAAAUUUGCGGAUGGCAUCGAGUUUUGAAGGCCCAUACGCCACACAUCGUUCUAAGAUGGCCGAAAGGGACGAAACCAAUGAUUUAAAUGAAGGUCGCCCAAUGGCCAUAUCGUCAAUGACUUUGUUGAACUCAAGACCCGCCAAAGCUAUAUCACCACGAUAGGAGAACGAGUCUCCCGUGAAAAUGAAUCCCAUUGGGGAACGUAAAACAAUAUUUCCCAAAGGGAGUGAUGAAUGUGAUGAUUGAAAGCCAGAUAUGGCUUCGAGAGGGGUCUUGGUGGGACAACCGCACCACCUGGGAGUUCAACCGAGUCAAGUCCACGCAGAGGCGAAUGGACCCGUCCGAUUUUGGAAUUAAAACUAUUGGAUGGCACCAAAGGGACGGAACAUCUCCCAAGGGCUCGAUGAUCUCCAUUUUCGUCAUUUCCGUCAAUUCCAAAAGUAGUUUGUCCUUUUGGGGGCGUGGGACUUGGCGAGAUGUGUGAAUGGUGAAAGGCUUUGCGUCCAGCUUCAGCGUGAUUACCAUGGAAUU